AGAGGGAACGACGCAUGCUUGAGAAAUGGCGGGAAACAGAGGAGGCUCGAGGCUUGCUCACACGCACACAGCCAACUGCUUCUGGACCGCCUUGCUCACACGCACACAGCCAACUGCUUCUGGACCGCCUGAAAGGCAACCUCGCCCGCCGCGGUGGUGUGGGGCGGGCAUCCCUUGAGACUGUGCUCUGGAGGCCUGGAGAAACAGCUUUCUAUCCUCAGCACUGGGGAGAGCAGGCCUCAAUCCCUGCCUUUGCCUGCCGCCCCUCUUCCUUCCCUCUCAAAGCAUACCCAGCAGCCCCGGCGCUGAGAAACGCGUUACUCUCUUAUCAGCUGUGGGAGAGACAAGACAGACUGGCCUCUGGGCGGAGGGGCCGCCAUUGCCUGCCCUCUGGACCAGGGCCUCACAGAUACCCUCAGCUUCAGGAUUAGGGCUGCGUUGGUUUUUCCCCCCACAUCAGGGGACUUCAACAAGUAACCUCCAGUUCCAUAGAUAAAACUUGUAUUCCCCCCUUCUCCAUGGCAGGGGUUUUGAGCCUAGAGAAGGAAGAUCGGAGCUUCCUGGGGCUCCUGUGAAGCAGGCAGGGGGCAGCACUGGGCCCCGGGAAGAGGCGGAGAAGGCGAGGGAGUGCCUGCGGUGAGCCCAGAGCCUUGGGCCCGUUAUCCUCUGAUGCUGCUCCCCCAACUUUCCUGCCGUCAGUCCCUGACCUUGCCUGAGACCUUGGCGGCUCCCGCACCUCUCUCCCGGCUCCUCCUUGCUGAGAACACAACCCGCAAGGCCCUUCCGCCUGGCUGGACUGAGUCCCCUAUGGAGGCAGCCUGGCAGGGAGCAGGUAUCUUCCUGGCAGAAGAGGACAGACCUGCUUCUGCUUUGUAAUCAUACGGACAGUUGUGCUUGUCAGAGUUAACGGUGAAGUCCACAAAACAAAUUUCCACAUCGGCAGUCAAACCUGUA
This 954-nucleotide long non-coding RNA is filed under the name Homo sapiens (human). RNAcentral's name for it is "non-protein coding LIPE-AS1:26". The record is from RNAcentral. Lineage: Eukaryota; Metazoa; Chordata; Mammalia; Primates; Hominidae.